AUGGGUCGUACCAAUGUCAAUCCUAUUUGGGGGAAGAUUUGGAAAUUAUCGUGUCCGGCAAAGGUAAAAAUAUUUAUCUGGCGAACGUUGCAUGGAACUCUACCGUGUCGUGUUACACUUGCCAAUAGACACAUGAAAGUUUCGUCCCUUUGUCCAUCAUGCUCAAAUGGGCAAGAAGAUACAAAACACAUCUUGUUUUUGUGUGAGAAGGCAAAAGAGGUUUGGGGUAAGCUGGGGAUGUACGAGGUAAUUAAGAAAGCUUGUGUUAUUGAUCGUGCUGGUGAGGCGGUUCUUGAAUUCUUACUUCUUAUGCCGCACCAAGAACUAUCUAUAUUAGGAUGCCAGAAUGCAAGUGAAUUAAUCGCGAUAACCGCUUGGUAUUUAUGGUGGGAGAGA
This 396-nucleotide ribosomal RNA is filed under the name Triticum aestivum (bread wheat). RNAcentral's name for it is "partial small subunit ribosomal RNA". Lineage: Eukaryota; Viridiplantae; Streptophyta; Magnoliopsida; Poales; Poaceae. The record is from RNAcentral.